UGACGACGAGGCACUACGGUGCUGAAGCAACAAAUGCCCUGCUUCCAGGAAAAGCCUCUAAGCAUCAGGUAACACGAAAUCGUACCCCAAACCGACACAGGUGGUCAGGUAGAGAAUACCAAGGCGCUUGAGAGAACUCGGGUGAAGGAACUAGGCAAAAUGGUGCCGUAACUUCGGGAGAAGGCACGCUGACACGUAGGUGAAGUGAUUUACUCAUGGAGCUGAAGUCAGUCGAAGAUACCAGCUGGCUGCAACUGUUUAUUAAAAACACAGCACUGUGCAAACACGAAAGUGGACGUAUACGGUGUGACGCCUGCCCGGUGCCGGAAGGUUAAUUGAUGGGGUCAGCGCAAGCGAAGCUCCUGAUCGAAGCCCCGGUAAACGGCGGCCGUAACUAUAACGGUCCUAAGGUAGCGAAAUUCCUUGUCGGGUAAGUUCCGACCUGCACGAAUGGCGUAAUGAUGGCCAGGCUGUCUCCACCCGAGACUCAGUGAAAUUGAACUCGCUGUGAAGAUGCAGUGUACCCGCGGCAAGACGGAAAGACCCCGUGAACCUUUACUAUAGCUUGACACUGAACAUUGAGCCUUGAUGUGUAGGAUAGGUGGGAGGCUUUGAAGUGUGGACGCCAGUCUGCAUGGAGCCGACCUUGAAAUACCACCCUUUAAUGUUUGAUGUUCUAACGUGGACCCGUAAUCCGGGUUGCGGACAGUGUCUGGUGGGUAGUUUGACUGGGGCGGUCUCCUCCUAAAGAGUAACGGAGGAGCACGAAGGUUGGCUAAUCCUGGUCGGACAUCAGGAGGUUAGUGCAAUGGCAUAAGCCAGCUUGACUGCGAGCGUGACGGCGCGAGCAGGUGCGAAAGCAGGUCAUAGUGAUCCGGUGGUUCUGAAUGGAAGGGCCAUCGCUCAACGGAUAAAAGGUACUCCGGGGAUAACAGGCUGAUACCGCCCAAGAGUUCAUAUCGACGGCGGUGUUUGGCACCUCGAUGUCGGCUCAUCACAUCCUGGGGCUGAAGUAGGUCCCAAGGGUAUGGCUGUUCGCCAUUUAAAGUGGUACGCGAGCUGGGUUUAGAACGUCGUGAGACAGUUCGGUCCCUAUCUGCCGUGGGCGCUGGAGAACUGAGGGGGGCUGCUCCUAGUACGAGAGGACCGGAGUGGACGCAUCACUGGUGUUCGGGUUGUCAUGCCAAUGGCACUGCCCGGUAGCUAAAUGCGGAAGAGAUAAGUGCUGAAAGCAUCUAAGCACGAAACUUGCCCCGAGAUGAGUUCUCCCUGAGACUUAGAGUCUCCUGAAGGAACGUUGAAGACGACGACGUUGAUAGGCCGGGUGUGUAAGCGCAGCGAUGCGUUGAGCUAACCGGUACUAAUGAACCGUGAGGCUUAACCUUACA
RNAcentral lists this ribosomal RNA (1388 nucleotides) under Salmonella enterica. RNAcentral describes it as "partial 23S ribosomal RNA". It matches the Rfam family "Bacterial large subunit ribosomal RNA", at positions 1564 to 2925 of the family's 2925-position model. The record is from RNAcentral. Lineage: Bacteria; Pseudomonadati; Pseudomonadota; Gammaproteobacteria; Enterobacterales; Enterobacteriaceae.